CCCACUUGGAGCCGGUCUCCAGGGCACAUCUUGCGGGCGACUCACCCUGUAAGAAAUAAGAAAAUGCCUCAAUAAAAACAUGUAAAUCUGAAAUAAAGCGACAACUUUAUCCACGAAUGCUGCCCAGUAUACACAUUUAUCACCCGGGUCCUUUUACUUUGAAGUCAGCGAAAGACAACGAAGUGCAGGUAAGAGUUUCCCUUUCUACCCCCGAACUACUACGUGCGUAUUUUCCACGGAUACUAAACUAAAACGAGCGAGAAAGCUAAAUCAAAGUGUUUCGGGGGAAAUGUAGUGAGUUUGAUGCUGAACGAUCUCCCGAGACCCGUCUAGAAGGACACGAAACGAACACACGCCGGAUGAAAGGCGACGAAUCUCGGCUGUAGUUCCACACCGCGGCGCGCCGACGCGCCGUCACGGAGAACCUGGCUCUUGUCUCGUCUCCUGCAAAAACGCAAAACGAUCAUUCAUGGAAAGCCGUCUCCCUGGCCUGCUAACGCGCUAUAUCACAAGGAAGGAGGCGGCGGCGGUGGGCGGUGGGCGGCGAGGAUCAGGGCGUCGGCGGCGCGGG
Molecule: long non-coding RNA, 571 nt
Organism: Gadus chalcogrammus (walleye pollock)
Lineage: Eukaryota; Metazoa; Chordata; Actinopteri; Gadiformes; Gadidae
Exons: 3
Source: RefSeq, a predicted model, not a curated record